RNAcentral lists this long non-coding RNA (736 nucleotides) under Crocodylus porosus (Australian saltwater crocodile). Its description in RNAcentral is "lncRNA (ENSCPRG00005017275.1)". The record is from RNAcentral. Lineage: Eukaryota; Metazoa; Chordata; Crocodylia; Crocodylidae.
GGAGGGGCCAAUACUGAAAAGUUGGCCCCAAAGGAGUUAAUUUUAGUUUUACCAUUAACUUCAAUGAGGCCAGGAAUUCAGAUUUUUUCAUGUCUGGUUAUAUGGGUCUGCUUCUCCUUUCUCUCUCUGAUUGUGAUGCCAUACUAAUUUAUAGUAGUUUAUGUGAGAGGGCAAUCAGACCCAGUUUGGUCUACUGGCAGGCAGGGAAAGAAACGCAAAAAGUAAAAUAUCAGCAAUGUCAAACUGUCAUACAGGAUUUCAUAAUGAACACCGUCUGGAUGUUUAGAAAGAGGAGGAAGGCAGAAGGCUUGUUGCUGCAUGCUGGGUUUGCUCAAGCAAACACACACCAAAGGCUGGCAAGGAUUCCUGAUGACAGAAAGGUUAAUAAAGGAAGUGAGCAGGGAAGGAGGCUGAAGAGAGAACUUGGAGAACAUUCAUUUUUUAAAAGAGAUUUUUCAUCAGCAGGCUUGUGUUUUUGCUUUCAUGCUUUCAAGAAUUAUUAAUUCACUGAAAAAGUGAGAUGAUCCUUACCACAAACUGCCAGUGCUAAUUUGAAAGCCAGUGGGAGUUAUGCAAAGGUGGUUCUAAACUGAAGUGUGGUUUGCAAGUCAUGAUGCGGACACAAAAAGAAAAAUGAAGAGUAACCCCAGCCUUUAUGAGGCUUUCAUCCUUUUUUUUUUUGGUUUGAAGCAGUUUUCACUUCCCUUCCUGUCGUUAGAUGAUACUGCUAUUGCAC